Molecule: ribosomal RNA, 1001 nt
Filed under: Kellermania macrospora
Lineage: Eukaryota; Fungi; Ascomycota; Dothideomycetes; Botryosphaeriales; Planistromellaceae
Description: SSU rRNA
Rfam family: Eukaryotic small subunit ribosomal RNA
Source: RNAcentral
CUCAUUAAAUCAGUUAUCGUUUAUUUGAUAGUACCUUACUACUUGGAUAACCGUGGUAAUUCUAGAGCUAAUACAUGCUAAAAACCCCGACUUCGGGAGGGGUGUAUUUAUUAGAUAAAAAACCAAUGCCCUUCGGGGCUCCUUGGUGAAUCAUGAUAACUUAACGAAUCGCAUGGCCUUGCGCCGGCGAUGGUUCAUUCAAAUUUCUGCCCUAUCAACUUUCGAUGGUAGGAUAGUGGCCUACCAUGGUAUCAACGGGUAACGGGGAAUUAGGGUUCUAUUCCGGAGAGGGAGCCUGAGAAACGGCUACCACAUCCAAGGAAGGCAGCAGGCGCGCAAAUUACCCAAUCCCGACACGGGGAGGUAGUGACAAUAAAUACUGAUACAGGGCUCUUUUGGGUCUUGUAAUUGGAAUGAGUACAAUUUAAAUACCUUAACGAGGAACAAUUGGAGGGCAAGUCUGGUGCCAGCAGCCGCGGUAAUUCCAGCUCCAAUAGCGUAUAUUAAAGUUGUUGCAGUUAAAAAGCUCGUAGUUGAACCUUGGGCCUGGCUGGCCGGUCCGCCUCACCGCGUGUACUGGUCCGGCCGGGCCUUUCCUUCUGGGGAUCCCCAUGCCCUUCACUGGGUGUGGCGGGGAACCAGGACUUUUACUUUGAAAAAAUUAGAGUGUUCAAAGCAGGCCUUUGCUCGAAUACAUUAGCAUGGAAUAAUAGAAUAGGACGUGCGGUCCUAUUUUGUUGGUUUCUAGGACCGCCGUAAUGAUUAAUAGGGAUAGUCGGGGGCAUCAGUAUUCAAUUGUCAGAGGUGAAAUUCUUGGAUUUAUUGAAGACUAACUACUGCGAAAGCAUUUGCCAAGGAUGUUUUCAUUAAUCAGUGAACGAAAGUUAGGGGAUCGAAGACGAUCAGAUACCGUCGUAGUCUUAACCGUAAACUAUGCCGACUAGGGAUCGGGCGAAGUUAUUAUUUUGACUCGCUCGGCACCUUACGAGAAAUCAAAGUCU